AGUGAACGCUGGCGGUAGGCCUAACACAUGCAAGUCGAACGGCAGCACAGUAAGAGCUUGCUCUUACGGGUGGCGAGUGGCGGACGGGUGAGGAAUACAUCGGAAUCUACUUUUUCGUGGGGGAUAACGUAGGGAAACUUACGCUAAUACCGCAUACGACUUACGGGUGAAAGCAGGGGAUCUUCGGACCUUGCGCGAUUGAAUGAGCCGAUGUCGGAUUAGUUAGUUGGCGGGGUAAAGGCCCACCAAGGCGACGAUCCGUAGCUGGUCUGAGAGGAUGACCAGCCACACUGGAACUGAGACACGGUCCAGCCCCCUACGGGAGGCAGCAGUGGGGAAUAUUGGACAAUGGGCGCAAGCCUGAUCCAGCCAUACCGCGUGGGUGAAGAAGGCUUUCGGGUUUUAAAGCCUUUUUGUUGGGAAAGACAAGCAGCAGGUUAAUACCCCGCUGUUCUGACGGUACCCAAAGAAUAAGCACCGGCUAACUUCGUG
RNAcentral lists this ribosomal RNA (492 nucleotides) under uncultured bacterium. RNAcentral's name for it is "partial 16S ribosomal RNA". It matches the Rfam family "Bacterial small subunit ribosomal RNA", at positions 29 to 507 of the family's 1533-position model. The record is from RNAcentral.